AGUUUCAGAAAUGCUGGAACAUACCCUCGAAGCAACCACUGAAGCCCUUCCAGCAGAGGAACCGCAGAACUCAAAAAUCCUAGCUGUAGGUUGGGUCCACACUACUAGGGAGACCUCCAGCCCAGAAAGCAGCUUGGCGAUAAGACGGAAGAAUGAAGGAGCUCCAGUUUUGAAGCAGGGUUGUUUUUUGUUUGUUUGUUUGUUUUUAUUUUUAUUUUUUUCCUCCCUUUAGAGUAGAGAGAUUAGGGCUGAGCAGCUUGGACAUUGGACCAGAUGGAAAGACUAGCUGACCUGGGUAUUAAUGCUGGAUAUAGCAACGUCCUUCUAUGUCCUUCUAAAUUUUCUUCAUGAGUAGUGAUAAGUUAUGCUGAGAAAAAUUCUUGAACCUACAGUUAUACAACAUUGUUCUUGCCGCCUUUCAAAAAUGGACAAUGUCUCCCAUAUGGAAUAUCUACUGAUGAUCUUGCAAGAAGGUGAAUAAAAAAUCCAAUGAAGACAUAAAACGAGUUUCAUUUAAAAAAUCUGGUAAAAUGGAAGUUUGCUUUACACAAACAGUAAAGAAGCCUUGGAAGAUAAUGUUGACUUCCCAUGCUCAAAAGUACUCUGACUCAGGAAGAUAGCUCCAGCCCUUCAAAGGAAGGGCUGUCUGCAAUAAAUGCCCAUGGAGACCUCUCAGCAAUUCCAUAAGAUAAGUGAAUUGGCUUAAAUCAAAUGUUUUGCAGUUCCAUUUACAGAGCAUUUACUGGCCAUCGUGUACUACUCAAGUUACUAGAACACUAAGUUGACUCAUGCUUGGAAAUACUGGUUUUAUGUUGCUAUCAGAGUAUUGUCAUAAAUCCACCCACAAUUACAAAGAGUCCUACUCUGCUGCUGUAGCUACCUUUAACUCCUUGCCCUCAGCAAAUUGUAUGCCUAGGGAGAUGGACUACUUCGGCCUUGAGAAAUUUCCAAUUAGGUCAUUUUGAGAAGCAGUCUGGAUGUGUGGUCUGAAAUAGCAUUUCCAGUUUUUGCCUAUUUUUAUUUUUGAGAACUGCUUGCAAAUAAAUGCCACUGAGUUUGUUAGGAA
Molecule: long non-coding RNA, 1066 nt
Organism: Homo sapiens (human)
Lineage: Eukaryota; Metazoa; Chordata; Mammalia; Primates; Hominidae
Product: long intergenic non-protein coding RNA 2101
Source: Ensembl